GAUGAACGCUGGCGGCGUGCCUAACACAUGCAAGUUGAGCGAUUCUCUUCGGAGAAGAGCGGCGGACGGGUGAGUAACGCGUGGGUAACCUGCCCUAUACACACGGAUAACAUACCGAAAGGUAUGCUAAUACGGGAUAACAUAAGAGAUUCGCAUGGAUUUCUUAUCAAAGCUUUUGCGGUAUAGGAUGGACCCGCGUCUGAUUAGCUAGUUGGUAAGGUAACGGCUUACCAAGGCGACGAUCAGUAGCCGACCUGAGAGGGUGAUCGGCCACAUUGGAACUGAGACACGGUCCAAACUCCUACGGGAGGCAGCAGUGGGGAAUAUUGCACAAUGGGCGAAAGCCUGAUGCAGCAACGCCGCGUGAGCGAUGAAGGCCUUCGGGUCGUAAAGCUCUGUCCUCAAGGAAGAUAAUGACGGUACUUGAGGAGGAAGCCCCGGCUAACUACGUGCCAGCAGCCGCGGUAAUACGUAGGGGGCUAGCGUUAUCCGGAAUUACUGGGCGUAAAGGGUGCGUAGGUGGUUUCUUAAGUCAGAGGUGAAAGGCUACGGCUCAACCGUAGUAAGCCUUUGAAACUGAGAAACUUGAGUGCAGGAGAGGAGAGUAGAAUUCCUAGUGUAGCGGUGAAAUGCGUAGAUAUUAGGAGGAAUACCAGUUGCGAAGGCGGCUCUCUGGACUGUAACUGACACUGAGGCACGAAAGCGUGGGGAGCAAACAGGAUUAGAUACCCUGGUAGUCCACGCCGUAAACGAUGAGUACUAGCUGUCGGAGGUUACCCCCUUCGGUGGCGCAGCUAACGCAUUAAGUACUCCGCCUGGGAAGUACGCUCGCAAGAGUGAAACUCAAAGGAAUUGACGGGGACCCGCACAAGUAGCGGAGCAUGUGGUUUAAUUCGAAGCAACGCGAAGAACCUUACCUAAGCUUGACAUCCUUCUGACCUCUCCCUAAUCGGAGAUUUCCCUUCGGGGACAGAAGUGACAGGUGGUGCAUGGUUGUCGUCAGCUCGUGUCGUGAGAUGUUGGGUUAAGUCCCGCAACGAGCGCAACCCUUGCCUUUAGUUGCCAGCAUUAAGUUGGGCACUCUAGAGGGACUGCCAGGGAUAACCUGGAGGAAGGUGGGGAUGACGUCAAAUCAUCAUGCCCCUUAUGCUUAGGGCUACACACGUGCUACAAUGGGUGGUACAGAGGGCAGCCAAGUCGUGAGGCGGAGCUAAUCCCUUAAAGCCAUUCUCAGUUCGGAUUGUAGGCUGAAACUCGCCUACAUGAAGCUGGAGUUACUAGUAAUCGCAGAUCAGAAUGCUGCGGUGAAUGCGUUCCCGGGUCUUGUACACACCGCCCGUCACACCACGGGAGUUGGGGGCGCCCGAAGCCACUUAGCUAACCCUUUUGGGAAGCGAGUGUCGAAGGUGAAAUCAAUAACUGGGGUGAAGUCGUAACAAGGUAGCCGUAUCGGAAGGUGCGGCUGGAUCACCUCCUUUCUAAGGAGAAUUGCCUACUGUUUAAUUUUGAGGGUUCAUUAAAUGGAAACUCAACAAUAGAGGGCGUAGCCCAAUGCAACUGUAUUUUGAGCAACGGGAUGAACAUGAACGUAUGUGAAUGUUUAGACGUUGGCGACAUGCAAUAGCAUUUUAGUACUUUGAAAACUGCAUAACAUUUAGUGAUAUGACAUCAUUUAAUUAAUAUAUGGACAAGAAAAGUCCUUAAAAUUACAACUAUAAUAACUGGUCAAGUUAUUAAGGGUGCAGGGCGGAUGCCUUGGCACUAGGAGCCGAUGAAGGACGUGAUAAGCUGCGAUAAGCUUCGGGGAGUUGCACGUAAACUUUGAUCCGAAGAUUUCCGAAUGAGGAAACUCACUUAGAGUAAUGUCUAAGUAUCGUUAAGUGAAUACAUAGCUUAGCGAGGGGAACCCGGGGAACUGAAACAUCUAAGUACCUGGAGGAAGAGAAAGAAAAAUCGAUUCCGUAAGUAGCGGCGAGCGAACGCGGAACAGGCCAAACCAAUGAAGUUUACUUCGUUGGGGUUGCGGACAUAUCAUUAAGCAAGAGGUCAUCGUAAAUGAAGAGAGUUGGAAAGCUCCGCUAUAGAAGGUAAUAGCCCUGUAGUUGAAACGAUAAUUCUUCAGAUAUGAUCCAGAGUACCACGGGACACGUGAAACCCUGUGGGAAGCAGGAGGGACCAUCCUCCAAGCCUAAAUACUACCUAGUGACCGAUAGCGCAU
Molecule: ribosomal RNA, 2218 nt
Filed under: uncultured Intestinibacter sp.
Lineage: Bacteria; Bacillati; Bacillota; Clostridia; Peptostreptococcales; Peptostreptococcaceae
Description: partial contains 16S ribosomal RNA, 16S-23S ribosomal RNA intergenic spacer, and 23S ribosomal RNA
Rfam family: Bacterial small subunit ribosomal RNA (bases 1-1478)
Source: RNAcentral